This 465-nucleotide ribosomal RNA is filed under the name uncultured bacterium. RNAcentral describes it as "partial 16S ribosomal RNA". It matches the Rfam family "Bacterial small subunit ribosomal RNA", at positions 338 to 795 of the family's 1533-position model. The record is from RNAcentral.
CCUACGGGUGGCAGCAGUAGGGAAUCUUCGUCAAUGGGCGCAAGCCUGAACGAGCGAUGCCGCGUGAGUGAAGAAUGCCUUCGGGUCGUAAAGCUCUGUUGCGGGGGAAAAAAGGCAGCAUCAGGAAAUGGGUGCUGACUGAUGGUGCCCAGACAGAAAGUCACGGCUAACUACGGGCCAGCAGCCGCGGUAAUACGUAGGUGGCGAGCUUUAUCCGGAAUGAUUGGGCGUACAGGGUGCGCAGGCGGUCGUGCAAGUCUGGAGUGAAACGCAUGAGCUCAACCCAUGCAUGGCUUUGGAAACUGGAGGACUGGAGAGCAGGAGAGGGAGGUGGAACUCGAUGUGUAGCGGUAAAAUGCGUAGAUAUAUGGAAGAACACCAGUGGCGAAGGCGGCCGCCUGGCCUGUUGCUGACGCUGAGGCACGAAAGCGUGGGGAGCAAAUAGGAUUAGAUACCCUUGUAGUC